Molecule: transfer RNA, 72 nt
Filed under: Monascus purpureus
Lineage: Eukaryota; Fungi; Ascomycota; Eurotiomycetes; Eurotiales; Aspergillaceae
Rfam family: tRNA
About the family: Transfer RNA (tRNA) molecules are approximately 80 nucleotides in length. Their secondary structure includes four short double-helical elements and three loops (D, anti-codon, and T loops). Further hydrogen bonds mediate the characteristic L-shaped molecular structure. tRNAs have two regions of fundamental functional importance: the anti-codon, which is responsible for specific mRNA codon recognition, and the 3' end, to which the tRNAs corresponding amino acid is attached (by aminoacyl-tRNA synthetases). tRNAs cope with the degeneracy of the genetic code in two manners: having more than one tRNA (with a specific anti-codon) for a particular amino acid; and 'wobble' base-pairing, i.e. permitting non-standard base-pairing at the 3rd anti-codon position.
Source: Rfam by way of RNAcentral
GGCCUGCUGGCCCAAUGGUAAGGCGCUCGACUACGGAUCGAGAGAUUGCAGGUUCGAAUCCUGCGUAGGUCA